This 595-nucleotide ribosomal RNA is filed under the name uncultured organism. RNAcentral describes it as "bacterial SSU rRNA". It matches the Rfam family "Bacterial small subunit ribosomal RNA", at positions 806 to 1412 of the family's 1533-position model. The record is from RNAcentral.
ACGAUGAAUGCUAGGUGUGGGAUCGAAUGGUUCCGUGCCGGAGCGAACUCGAUAAGCAUUCCGCCUGGGGAGUACGUCCGCAAGGUUAAAACUCAAACGAAUUGACGGGGCCCCGCACAAGCAGCGGAGCGUGUGGUUUAAUUCGAUGCUACACGAAGAACCUUACCUGGGUUUGACAUGUAGGUGGUAGUGAAUCGAAAGGUGAACGACCCUUCGGGGAGCCUACACAGGUGCUGCAUGGCUGUCGUCAGCUCGUGCCGUGAGGUGUCGGGUUAAGUCCCGUAACGAGCGCAACCCUUGCUCCUAGUUACAAGUGUCUACGGGGGACUGCCGGCGGAAAGCCGGAGGAACCCUCGGGAUCACGUCAAGUCAGCAUGGCCCUUAUAUCCAGGGCUACACACACGCUACAAUGGUCGGUACAAAGGGCAGCGAAACCGCGAGGCGGAGCGAAUCCGAGNAAAGCCGAUCGUAGUUCGGAUAGCAGGCUGCAACCCGCAUGCUUGAAGCUGGAGUUGCUAGUAACCGCGCGUCAGCCAUCUCACCUCUCGAUACGUUCCCGGGGCUUGUACACACCGCCAGUCACGUCAUGGGAGUC